RNAcentral lists this ribosomal RNA (485 nucleotides) under uncultured bacterium. Its description in RNAcentral is "partial 16S ribosomal RNA". It matches the Rfam family "Bacterial small subunit ribosomal RNA", at positions 30 to 507 of the family's 1533-position model. The record is from RNAcentral.
AUUGAACGCUGGCGGCAGGCUUAACACAUGCAAGUCGAGCGGGGAAAGGUAGCUUGCUACCUGACCUAGCGGCGGACGGGUGAGUAAUGCUUAGGAAUCUGCCUAUUAGUGGGGGACAACAUCUCGAAAGGGAUGCUAAUACCGCAUACGUCCUACGGGAGAAAGCAGGGGACCUUCGGGCCUUGCGCUAAUAGAUGAGCCUAAGUCGGAUUAGCUAGUUGGUGGGGUAAAGGCCUACCAAGGCGACGAUCUGUAGCGGGUCUGAGAGGAUGAUCCGCCACACUGGGACUGGGACACGGCCCAGACUCCUACGGGAGGCAGCAGUGGGGAAUAUUGGACAAUGGGGGGAACCCUGAUCCAGCCAUGCCGCGUGUGUGAAGAAGGCCUUUUGGUUGUAAAGCACUUUAAGCGAGGAGGAGGCUACCGAGAUUAAUACUCUUGGAUAGUGGACGUUACUCGCAGAAUAAGCACCGGCUAACUCUGUG